Molecule: ribosomal RNA, 123 nt
Filed under: Chelonoidis abingdonii (Abingdon island giant tortoise)
Lineage: Eukaryota; Metazoa; Chordata; Testudines; Testudinidae
Source: RNAcentral
GACUGCAUUCAGACCACCAUCUAGUCUGCUGUGAUUUGUUCAGAUCUUACAAGCUAAGGAGGGAUAGGGACGGGUUGGUACUUGAAUGGGAAACCUCCAAGGAACGUCUAGCUGCUGCUGCUG